UACGGAAGGUCCGGGCGUUAUCCGGAUUUAUUGGGUUUAAAGGGAGCGUAGGCCGGAGAUUAAGCGUGUUGUGAAAUGUAGACGCUCAACGUCUGCACUGCAGCGCGAACUGGUUUCCUUGAGUACGCACAAAGUGGGCGGAAUUCGUGGUGUAGCGGUGAAAUGCUUAGAUAUCACGAAGAACUCCGAUUGCGAAGGCAGCUCACUGGAGCGCAACUGACGCUGAAGCUCGAAAGUGCGGGUAUCGAACAGGAUUAGAUACCCGAGUAGACUGACU
Molecule: ribosomal RNA, 277 nt
Filed under: Segatella copri DSM 18205
Lineage: Bacteria; Pseudomonadati; Bacteroidota; Bacteroidia; Bacteroidales; Prevotellaceae
Description: Prevotella copri DSM 18205 partial 16S ribosomal RNA
Rfam family: Bacterial small subunit ribosomal RNA
Source: RNAcentral